GAUGAACGCUGGCGGCGUGCCUAACACAUGCAAGUCGAACGGAAAGGCCCUGCUUUUGUGGGGUGCUCGAUUGGCGAACGGGUGAGUAACACGCGAGUAACCUGCCCUUGUCUUUCGGAUAACUUCACGAAACUGGGGCUAAUAUCGGAUAGGAUCUCCUGCAGCAUGGUGGGGGUGGGAAAGUUUCGGCGUUUGUGGAUGGACUAGCGGCUUAUCAGCUUGUUGGUGGGGUAGUGGCUUACCAAGGGUUUGACGGGUAGCCGGCCUGAGAGGGGGAACGGCCACAAUGGGACUGAGGGACGGAGCAGACUGGAACGGUAGGCAACAGUGGGAAGUAUGGCACAGUGGGCGGGAGCGUGAGGCGGAGGCGCUGCGUUCGGAAAGACGGCCUUCGGGUUAAGAACAGCUGUAGCCUGAGACGAAGCGUGAGUGACGGUACUGAAUAAAGAAGCACCGGCUAACUACGUG
RNAcentral lists this ribosomal RNA (468 nucleotides) under uncultured bacterium. RNAcentral describes it as "partial 16S ribosomal RNA". It matches the Rfam family "Bacterial small subunit ribosomal RNA", at positions 28 to 507 of the family's 1533-position model. The record is from RNAcentral.